Molecule: unclassified non-coding RNA, 677 nt
Filed under: Daphnia pulicaria
Lineage: Eukaryota; Metazoa; Arthropoda; Branchiopoda; Diplostraca; Daphniidae
Description: protein nervous wreck-like, transcript variant X8
Source: RNAcentral
GGGUUGGGAAUUGCGGGAAAUGUAGAAACAGAAUUUUCUUGCGCUUCGAAAAUUUAUUUCUCUUCAGUCUAGAAAUGCCCAUCCCAAGUUUAUGUUGCCCUCACUGCCGUGGUUCUCAGGCAAACAACGUGGUUGUAAUUUUCAAAUGUAUCCACUCUGCAUCCACCAUCCUAGCAUUCUUCAAAACCACGUGUUCGUAGGCGAAUUCCUUCCUGCUUAAAAUGAAGGUCUUGAUUGGUGCACAGCUUUGGAUUAUGUAUCCAGCAAUGUGAAAAGAAAAAGAAUCUUGUGGUAGCAAACUGGAAGUUUCCUGUGAUGUAUGUACCAGUGUACUUUACUUUGUUGCAGUCCUGGUUUCAUCCAAUUAGAACUCGGGAAUUGGGCUUUCUCCUCACUGGUACAAUCCAUUCCAUAAUUGGUCGGAAAUUAUAAUGGCAAGCAACAUCAUUGGCUCGGGUUUAUAUUUUAAAAAUUCGUGUCCGUAAGGUGCGUUUCGUGUCAAAUGUUUUCCAAUUUAAUAGAGGUAUAACGCAUUUCGCUUUACUUCCCAUUUUGGUACAUGUUAGCAUGAAAUCAGUAGUUUCAGAUGGAUGAGAUCAACCCGAGUUCUUCGUUUGAAAGUAUGUGACCGAAACUUAUGUAAGAUUCGAAUAUGGUAAUAAAUUUAUGUUGGAUAA